Molecule: ribosomal RNA, 376 nt
Filed under: uncultured bacterium
Lineage: Bacteria
Description: partial 16S ribosomal RNA
Rfam family: Bacterial small subunit ribosomal RNA
Source: RNAcentral
CCUACGGGAGGCAGCAGUGGGGAAUAUUGCACAAUGGGGGAAACCCUGAUGCAGCGACGUCGCGUGAGGGAAGAAGUAAUUCGGUAUGGAAAGCUCUAUCAGUAGGGAAGAAAAUGACGGUACCUGAGUAAGAAGCCGCGGCUAACUACGUGCCAGCAGGCGCGGCACUACGUAGGGGGCAAGCGUUAUCCGGAUUUACUGGGUGUAAAGGGAGUGUAGACGGCAGUGCAAGUGGGGAGGGAAAGGCGGGGGCUCAACCCCCAGCCUGCUGUGGAAACUGUACGGCUGGAGUGCAGGAGAGGUAAGUGGAAUUCCUAGUGUAGCGGUGAAAUGCGUAGAUAUUAGGAGGAACACCAGUGGCGAAGGCGGCUUACUG